AUCUUGUGUGGUGGUGGUGGCAGCCUCACUGUCAAUCCACUACAGUACCUGAUGCAGCCCCGACCCUCACAG
This 72-nucleotide microRNA precursor is filed under the name Mus caroli (Ryukyu mouse). RNAcentral describes it as "microRNA 7044 (MGP_CAROLIEiJ_G0008048.1)". Lineage: Eukaryota; Metazoa; Chordata; Mammalia; Rodentia; Muridae. The record is from RNAcentral.